GCCAAUCCUCCCGACUUGCGAACCAUCUGGCUUGAGGUCUUUCCGCCUUGAGGACUUCCCGACCUGAAAACCUUCCGACUUGAGGUCUUUCCGCCUUGAGGACUUCCCGACCUGAAAACCUUCCGACUUGAGGUCUUUCCGUCUUGAGGACUUCCCGACCUGAAAACCUUCCGACUUGAGGUCUUUCCGCCUUGAGGUCUUCCCGACCUGAAAACCUUCCGACUUGAGGUCUUUCCGUCUUGAGGACCUCCCGACCUGAAAACCUUCCGACUUGAGGUCCUUCCGUCUUGAGGACCUACCGACCUGAGGUCCUUCCGUCCUAAUGACUUUCCGUCUUGAGGACCUACCGACCUGAAGACCUUCCGACCUGAGGACUUUCCUUAGUAAUAAACCUAUUUUCCUUGAUUUCCUCAUGGUACCCUUCAGUCAGUUCAAUCAACUCUAUUGCCAGG
Andrographis paniculata is the source of this 452-nucleotide long non-coding RNA. RefSeq lists it as uncharacterized. Lineage: Eukaryota; Viridiplantae; Streptophyta; Magnoliopsida; Lamiales; Acanthaceae. The record is from RefSeq and is a predicted model, not a curated record. The transcript has 3 exons.